GCCUCCCUCCGCCGCCAUCAGACUCCUACGGGGGCAGGCAGUGGGGAAUAGUUGGACAAUGGGCGCAAGCCUGAUCCAGCCAUGCCGCGUGAGUGAUGAAGGCCCUAGGGUUGUAAAGGCUACUUUUGUGUCGGGAAGAGUAAAUGACGGUACCGCAAGAAUAAGCCCCGGCUAACCUUCGUGCCAGCAGCCGCGGUAAUC
This 201-nucleotide ribosomal RNA is filed under the name uncultured bacterium. RNAcentral's name for it is "partial 16S ribosomal RNA". It matches the Rfam family "Bacterial small subunit ribosomal RNA", at positions 307 to 525 of the family's 1533-position model. The record is from RNAcentral.